UGUUUCCCAUCUUACACUUUUUCAGAAUAGAUACUCCCUUGGUAGAAUCAUGGGCUGACACAAUCACAUUAUAAAAUUUUCUCUGGUUCUGUCUCUUCCCCUCUGGAACACACAUGGAUGAUUCUUAUUACUUAAUGCACACAUUAAAUAACUGUAUACACCAUGAACUGGAGGCCUUGUGUUUUGAGCGAAAAGCUCUGGAUUUGAGUUUGUGUUUCCAAACACACUUCUGAGGUAGAAAUUGUCAAGAGCUUUCCCAAACUCUUUUUUUAAUCCUCCUGAGCUCACCAUCUCUGGGACUCUCUUGCAAUUGGACAGCCAUGCAAUUGAGCUUCAGCCAAUGAAACAUGAAUAGAGGGCGUGACACACAACCUGCCAUGUUCAAGCCUCCAUACUCUUUCCCUCCUCCAGCUUCGUGCUGAUGAACAUGGUCACCUUGAAAGGUGUGUUGAAUACGGCAGAGCCAGAAAAUGCAAGGAGCUUCUUCUCUGGAUCACCACUUGAAGAAGAUCCACUUGCUACUCAGGAACCCUAUUUUGGACUGACGUUGCAAGAAAGCUCAAGUAGCCCAUGGAGAGGAUGCAAGGCUUCCAGCUGAUCCCCUCAGCCAGGCUCAGUAGCAGCCAGAACUAGCCUACUAACGAACCUGCUGAUUAUGUGCGUAAGCCACCUUGAACGUCGAUCCUCCUGCCUGGUGGAGCCAUCCCAGCUGAUGCCACAUGAAGCAGACACAAGCUGUCCCUACUAAGCUCUGCCCAAGUUGGAUAUUCAUGAGUGAAAUAAAUGACU
This 789-nucleotide non-coding RNA is filed under the name Pongo abelii (Sumatran orangutan). Lineage: Eukaryota; Metazoa; Chordata; Mammalia; Primates; Hominidae. The record is from RNAcentral.